Molecule: ribosomal RNA, 330 nt
Organism: Phytophthora nicotianae (black shank of tobacco agent)
Lineage: Eukaryota; Oomycota; Peronosporomycetes; Peronosporales; Peronosporaceae
Rfam family: Eukaryotic large subunit ribosomal RNA
Source: Rfam
CGAUGUGCGCUCGACGAGGAAAAAUCCGGAAUGGGGAGUUUGGCUGGGGCGGCACAUCUGUUAAAUGAUAACACAGGUGUCCUAAGGUGAGCUCAAUGAGAACAGAAAUCUCAUGUAGAACAAAAGGGUAAAAGCUCACUUGAUUUUGAUUUUCAGUAUGAAUACAAACCGUGAAAGCGUGGCCUAUCGAUCCUUUAGUUCUUUUGAAUUUUAAGCUAGAGGUGUCAGAAAAGUUACCACAGGGAUAACUGGCUUGUGGCAGCCAAGCGUCCAUAGCGACGUUGCUUUUUGAUUCUUCGAUGUCGGCUCUUCCUAUCAUUGCGAAGUAGA